GACGAACGCUGGCGGCGUGCUUAACACAUGCAAGUCGAACGGAAAGGCCCUGCUUGCAGGGUGCUCGAGUGGCGAACGGGUGAGUAACACGUGGGUGAUUUGCCCCCUACUUUGGGAUAAGCCUGGGAAACGGGGUCUAAUACUGGAUAGGACCAUGCUGUAGGUGGUGUGGUGGAGAGAUCAUUGUCGGUUGGGGUUGAGCUUGCGGCCUAUCAGCUUGUUGGUGGGGGAAUGGCCUACCAAGGCGUCGGCGGGUAGCCGGCCUGAGAGGGUGGACGGCACCAUUGGGACUGCGAUACGGCCCAGACUCCUACGGGAGGCAGCAGUGGGGAAUAUUGCACAAUGGGCGCAAGCCUGAUGCAGCGACGCCGCGUGGGUGAUGACGGCCUUCGGGUUGUAAACUCCUUUCGGCCAUGACGAAGCCCUUGUGGUGACGGUAGUGGUAGAAGAAGCACCGGCUAACUACGUG
This 469-nucleotide ribosomal RNA is filed under the name uncultured bacterium. RNAcentral's name for it is "partial 16S ribosomal RNA". It matches the Rfam family "Bacterial small subunit ribosomal RNA", at positions 28 to 507 of the family's 1533-position model. The record is from RNAcentral.